Molecule: ribosomal RNA, 506 nt
Filed under: uncultured bacterium
Lineage: Bacteria
Description: partial 16S ribosomal RNA
Rfam family: Bacterial small subunit ribosomal RNA
Source: RNAcentral
AGUGAACGCUGGCGAUAGGCCUAACACAUGCAAGUCGAACGGCAGCACAGGAGAGCUUGCUCUCUGGGUGGCGAGUGGCGGACGGGUGAGGAAUACAUCGGAAUCUACUCUGUCGUGGGGGAUAACGUAGGGAAACUUACGCUAAUACCGCAUACGACCUACGGGUGAAAGCAGGGGAUCUUCGGACCUUGCGCGAUUGAAUGAGCCGAUGUCGGAUUAGCUAGUUGGCGGGGUAAAGGCCCACCAAGGCGACGAUCCGUAGCUGGUCUGAGAGGAUGAUCAGCCACACUGGACCUGAGACACGGUCCAGACUCCUACGGGAGGCAGCAGUGGGGAAUAUUGGACAAUGGGCGCAAGCCUGAUCCAGCCAUACCGCGUGGGUGAAGAAGGCCUUCGGGUUGUAAAGCCCUUUUGUUGGGAAAGAAAUCCAGCUGGCUAAUACCCGGUUGGGAUGACGGUACCCAAAGAAUAAGCACCGGCUAACUUCGUGCCAGCAGCCGCCGUAA